AUUGAACGCUGGCGGAAUGCUUUACACAUGCAAGUCGAACGGUAACGCGGGGGCAACCCUGGCGACGAGUGGCGAACGGGUGAGUAAUACAUCGGAACAUGUCCUGGAGUGGGGGAUAGCUCGGCGAAAGCCGGAUUAAUACCGCAUACGCUCUGAGGAGGAAAGCGGGGGACCUUCGGGCCUCGCGCUGCAGGAGUGGCCGAUGUCGGAUUAGCUAGUUGGUGGGGUAAAGGCCUACCAAGGCAUCGAUCAGUAGCUGGUCUGAGAGGACGACCAGCCACACUGGGACUGAGGCACGGCCCAGACUCCUACGGGAGGCAGCAGUGGGGAAUUUUGGACAAUGGGCGCAAGCCUGAUCCAGCAAUGCCGCGUGAGUGAAGAAGGCCU
This 387-nucleotide ribosomal RNA is filed under the name uncultured bacterium. RNAcentral's name for it is "bacterial SSU rRNA". It matches the Rfam family "Bacterial small subunit ribosomal RNA", at positions 29 to 417 of the family's 1533-position model. The record is from RNAcentral.